UAUGAACCUGCGGAAGGAUCAUUG
RNAcentral lists this ribosomal RNA (24 nucleotides) under Tilia oliveri. RNAcentral's name for it is "partial 18S ribosomal RNA". Lineage: Eukaryota; Viridiplantae; Streptophyta; Magnoliopsida; Malvales; Malvaceae. The record is from RNAcentral.